RNAcentral lists this long non-coding RNA (696 nucleotides) under Salmo salar (Atlantic salmon). Its description in RNAcentral is "lncRNA (ENSSSAG00000109468.1)". Lineage: Eukaryota; Metazoa; Chordata; Actinopteri; Salmoniformes; Salmonidae. The record is from RNAcentral.
GGGAAAAAAUAUAUUUACGUUCGUUCAAACAUGUCAAACGUUGUAUAGCAUAAAUCAUUAGGGCCUUUUUUAACCAGAACAUGAAUAAUAUUCAAGGUGGACGAAUGCAUACUCUUUUAUAACGUAUUGGAACGAGGGUACCCAACAUGAACUCGCGCGCCAGGUGUCUAAUGGGCCAUCAUCGUUCCAUGGCUCUUGUUCGGUCAGAUCUCCCUCCAGAAGACUCAAAACACUUUGUAAAGGCUGGUGACAUCUAGUGGAAGCAAUAGGAAGUGCCAAAAUAUUCCUCAGCCCCUGUGUUUUUCAAUGGCAUAGGUUUAACCUCUUGGGGCUAGGUGGGACGCUAGCGUGCCACCUGUGGUGCACUCCAUCAACAGCAGGUGCAUUUCAAGAGCGGCAAAUUUGAAUCCAAAUAAAUGGCAAAAUUCAAAUUUUUCAAAAAUACAACUAUGUUACACCAUUUGAAAGAUAAACAUCUCCUUAAUCUAACCACGUUUUACGAUUUCAAAAAGGUUUUACGGCGAAAGCAUAAAUUUAGAGUAUGUUAGGACAGUACAUUUACAAGAGUUGUGUGUAAUGUUUUGUCAAGUCAAAGACAGGGUCACCAAAACCAUAAAACCAGCUAAAAUGAUACACUAACCUUUUACAAUCUCCAUCAGAUGACACUCCUAGGACAUUAUGUUAGACAAUGCAUGC